AUUCAGCUGACGAGUUCCAAAUAGGACGAGACGCGCGUUCUGUAU
Non-coding RNA from Schistosoma rodhaini, 45 nucleotides. The record is from Rfam. NCBI's taxonomy places the organism in Eukaryota, Metazoa, Platyhelminthes, Trematoda, Strigeidida, Schistosomatidae.